This 253-nucleotide ribosomal RNA is filed under the name uncultured bacterium. RNAcentral's name for it is "partial 16S ribosomal RNA". It matches the Rfam family "Bacterial small subunit ribosomal RNA", at positions 524 to 776 of the family's 1533-position model. The record is from RNAcentral.
UACAGAGGUCUCGAGCGUUAGGCGGAAUCACUGGGCUUAAAGCGUGUGUAGGCGGACUGGUAAGUACCUUGUGAAAUCCCACGGCUCAACCGUGGAACUGCUUGGUAUACUGCUUGUCUUGUGCAACCUAGGGGCGAGCGGAACAGAUGGUGGAGCGGUGAAAUGCGUAGAUAUCAUCUGGAACGCCAAUGGUGAAAACAGCUCGCUGGGGGUUUGCAGACGCUGAGACACGAAAGCCAGGGGGGCAAACGGG